AUUGAACGCUGGCGGCAUGCCUUACACAUGCAAGUCGAACGGCAGCACGGGUGCUUGCACCUGGUGGCGAGUGGCGAACGGGUGAGUAAUACAUCGGAACGUACCUUAUCGUGGGGGAUAACGCAGCGAAAGUUGCGCUAAUACCGCAUAAGCCCUGAGGGGGAAAGCGGGGGACCGUAAGGCCUCGCGCGAUUAGAGCGGCCGAUGUCUGAUUAGCUUGUUGGUGAGGUAAAAGCUCACCAAGGCGAUGAUCAGUAGCUGGUCUGAGAGGACGAUCAGCCACACUGGGACUGAGACACGGCCCAGACUCCUACGGGAGGCAGCAGUGGGGAAUUUUGGACAAUGGGGGCAACCCUGAUCCAGCAAUGCCGCGUGAGUGAAGAAGGCCUUCGGGUUGUAAAGCUCUUUUGUCAGGGAAGAAACAGCAGCUCUAACGCAGUCUGCGAAUGACGGUACCUGAAGAAUAAGCACCGGCUAACUACGUGCCAGCAGCCGCCGUAA
This 501-nucleotide ribosomal RNA is filed under the name uncultured bacterium. RNAcentral's name for it is "partial 16S ribosomal RNA". It matches the Rfam family "Bacterial small subunit ribosomal RNA", at positions 30 to 523 of the family's 1533-position model. The record is from RNAcentral.